Cyprinus carpio carpio is the source of this 693-nucleotide long non-coding RNA. Lineage: Eukaryota; Metazoa; Chordata; Actinopteri; Cypriniformes; Cyprinidae. The record is from Ensembl.
GUCACAACGACGACAUCACUAGCUAGGCCGCAUAUUCCAUCGCCAGAUCCGAACCAAGCGAAGUGAAGGAAGACGGGUGUCCUUUUCGUACACUGAGUGUGGUGGGUGAGUCUUCGUGCUGUGAAAACCUAUAAUUUUGACGUGGUGUUGUAUAUUGCUGUGGGCUGCUGUGUAUUGCCGUGUGUCCUGUCAGAUAAACCCCCGCCUUCACGCACUUCGUCGCGGGAGGACAAGGAGACUGCUGGUCCUAGCCUAGUUCAGUACAGUAUAUGUUGUGAGCGUGCUUCAGAUCUCCGGAGAUAGCACGGUACGCUGUGUCCAGCCCAGAGGUGAAAGCCAUCCAAAGCAGAGUAACUGUGCUUGUGUCCAAGUUGAUACCUGUGGAGAGGAAAGGAAAGAGAGAUUGAUACCUGUGGAGAGAAAAGGAGAGAGAGUGGGUAACACGAGGAGAGACCGAGGAAACCUGUACUUACGCCGCUGCCUGUGGAGAAAGAGAAAGCGACCGUUGCCUGUGGAGGAAGAGAAAGAGAGUGAGCACCUCGAGAACGAACUGUGUGAACCAGUACUUACCGUGAGCUGUAUUCAGCGAAGAGGAGGAAGAAGGAGGGCGCUACGGAUACCUAAGACUCAGGCCGGGGCCCGAGUCCCACGCCCCGGAUCCCCGUGGCCCCCUUGCUCCCUGACCUCUUCCCG